Long non-coding RNA from Parus major (Great Tit), 4699 nucleotides. RefSeq lists it as uncharacterized. Lineage: Eukaryota; Metazoa; Chordata; Aves; Passeriformes; Paridae. The record is from RefSeq and is a predicted model, not a curated record. The transcript is spliced from 3 exons.
GAAAUAAAUAUAGGGAGAUAUAUAUAUAUGUAAAUAAAAACAAAUACAAGUAAUCCAAAUCUAGACAAGUAGAUUAAUAUUCAGUAUGAAAAAUAUACGGAUAGAUGGUAAUAUAUUUUAAUAUCUGCUAUGUAUUAUAUCUAUUGUAUAAAUCUAGAAGAUCAAUAUGAUAGAAAUAGAUAUUAAAAAUAUUUAAAUCAUGUGGAUUUUUGUUUUUUAUUUGGUUAGAAGCAGGGCUUUUAAAUGAAUAAUAUAGAAAUAAAAAUAUACACAUCUAUAAUAAAAAAAUAAGUAUAGGGAGAGAUACAUAUAUAUAUAGCCAUAAAAAAGAACUAAAUACAAGUAAUCUGAAUCUAGACAAGUAAAUUAAUAUUCAGUGUGAAAACUAUAUGGAUAGAUGCUAAUAUAAUAAAUUAUAAUAUCUAUUAUGCAAUAUAUCUAUGUGUAUAAUUUUUGAGGCAGAAUCCCAAUUUCAGCCACAGCACCUGGAAGACGAGGCCGGUUCUUUAUUGUGGAAAGCCCAGCACCCUGGUGUUUCAGGGACGGACAACGGGACAACUAGGGCAUGUAGGGGAGGGAAUGACUGGCAGGACCUUUCUCCACCCCACCCCUACCCCCACUCCAAGGUGCAGCAGCCCCAGGUAUGACCGGUGAGGACGAGAAGGGGGCAGCUCCUGGCAGAGGCAGUCUUCAGAGGGUUACCCAGGCAGACCCAUGCAGGGAGCCACUAGAGGGGCCAACAGGCAUCCUGGGAGUUCCUCCAGGAACGAGGGUUGUGGCACCCAGCAGGGUCUGGGGGAGCAGCUGGAUGUACCCGGGCAGGGAGCGUCACUUUAAGAGAAAACUGAGGGAAAACCCGUCCUGCUGAACGGCGGCACCCGAGCGGGCAGGGAAGCAUGUGGGGGUCUGGGGGCGGCGGUUUUCAACUUUCCCCUUCUACCUCACCACUUCCUCUCCAGAAAAGGGAUGGGUUAUCAGGGAAAAAAAGGGGUUUAAACUGAGGGAAAAAGCUUCCUUUUCCACAAUCGCCUGUGUUCGAAUUGAAGAGAAAUCCACUUCCUCUGCAAUUUUGAUAGUCUCAGUUGGAGGUAUGCCUUUUCUGUGCUGUUAGAGGUAUUAAUUGAUAGGGAAUCCCCAUUUUCUAUUUUUUUUCACUUUAAGUGGAAAGGGAAAGCAUGGAUGAUGCUUUUUUAUGGAUCUGAAUUAAGGGAAAAAUGCCCCCUUUUCCAUCACCAAGAGAGAUUUAAGGCAAGGAAAACCACUCUUUUCCCCAAUAUUUGAGGGGUUUAAAUUAAAGGGGAGAAGCCAUUUAUUUACCACUGUGUCUGUUUAAGUGGAGAUAGCUGCCCCAUUUCCUCAUUUUAAGCAUUGCCUUUUCCAACAUUUCAAGGGUUUAAAGCUGCAUUUCAGGGCACCUCUACCCAGGCCCCAGCACCAAAUAUUUCCAAUGGGAGCUAGCCCAGCAGGUAUGUAAUACUAAUGCCAUCUGGGAGUAUAUUCUUUUGCUUAUUUUCAUUUAUAAUGUAGAGAGCCCUGAUUAGAGAGCCCUAUGAUACUAUUCUUCUCCACCCUAAUUAAUCACAGGUGGAAUGCUACUUAGUAAUCACUAAAAAAUAAUUAUGCAAGUCCAUAAAUUAUCCAACUUAGCUGGCAAUGCUGCUGAAACACAAAGUUUUGCUUCUUACCCUUUUUUUUUUCCCCUUGGCUCCAUUGCUCUGAGUAAUUGUAGCAAAAAAAGAAAAAAUCGUCUUUUCCCAAAGAGUUUUCUUCUACGUGGAACUCCUUACCUCAAAUUUAACUCAGAGAAGCCAAACAGCUACAGUGCCUCUGAGGGCUUUUAUAGCCAGUGGGAUUUACCGCCUCCCUUUUCCCAGGCAUCGUGGGAAAAAGAGGCGGGCCCAAUCAGGGGUAUAUUAAGCCCUGGAUGUGCUAAGGGGCACUAUUCCCUCCUGGGGAAUCAGCUGGGAUAGAGAGCUUGUCUCUCACCUCACUGAAGAGUCUCUUUCAGUUUAAGUUAGCCUGCUUUUAGCAGAUAUCUUUCGGGCAUUUGAAGCAGCAGAGGAUUUGAAGACACCUUGAAGAAAACAUUUUUGAACACUUGAACACAGGGAGUAUUUAAGUUCAUGAUUUUGGGUUGGGGGUUCAGGGGUGAUAAGAUGCUUUCGUAAUAACUUGUCUUGUUUUUUUUUUUUUUUUAAGGAGGAUUGCACUUUCCUGAAGUUCUAGGUUACAUCAAGAGCGAUACUUCAGAUUCUCUCAGAAGAUUCAUUGUGACACAAAAGGGAAACGUCUCCACAGCAGCUUUCCUUAGCAAAAAAUUAGCCUACUGCACGGAUUUGCUUCGGACAGAGAAGUCAAGGGCUAUAAUUACAGUGAUGAUCAAAGAGGGGCGGUGGGUGUGGAUUCACACUGGUGUGGGGCUUUGAGUGAGCUUUGGGAAUGGGGAGGAUCUGAAACCCAGGGGUCAUUCCGAUCAUCUCCCAUCUUGGCGUUCCUCAGCCUGGCGCCGACACUGGCGAAGGUUCGAUUCGGGAGCUCGGACACGCAUCGCAAUUGUGUCUCUCUUUAGAAGCACCUGAUUGUAUGUCUUUUUAGGUCUUGUUUUGAGCUGUGUUAACAGCUAUAUGCAGCAAUAUUUCUUUACAGUGGAUAAGGACUUGUAGCGAUUCAAAGGCCGGCAGAGAAUUCCAAACACUGGAUUCUUAGGCAUCCAUCUCUGUGGUUCUGGGAAUAAGUUGUUCCGUUAGCAUCUUUUUCCUCCAGGGCUGUUUGAGCUCGACAGGCUCGCCUUCGGUCCCGCCUUGGUCAUCGCGUUCAGCAUUCUCUUGGUCCUCAUGAGGACUUCCUUGUCUCAGAGAGUUUUCUCUCCCUGUUGUGUCCCCUCGUCUGUCAUCUCAUGCGUCACGGGUGUCUGGGGGUAUUUGGUCUGGAGGUGCUCUGCCCUGCUGCCUAGCCUGGCUGUAGGUGUUUAAGGACACGUCCUGGGCAGUUGUAAUUGGAAAUUUGUAAUAGGGGCUGUAGUUGGAGUCUAGCCUAUUCUUAGGUUGGCAUAAGAUGUCUGGAGCUCUGAAGUUACCCUGCAGCACUUUGACUUUUUUCCUAACUGGCUUUCAGAUGCAGAUGGAUUGAACCCGUGGCAGAGCGCCCCAUCCCAGAUGAGGGGGUCCGCCCGAGAAGGAAGUAAAGCUGGAUAGCAGCAGUCAAGGUGAAGCAGGUAGAAGGCUGCCUCCUGAUGCUAUGCUGAGGCCCCCUCACUGACCUGCCAAGAGACCCGAUUUGCUUCUCUUGCAAGCCCCAGCAAAUAUUACAGGAGUCUGUGGUGAAGCCUUGACCUCAUCCAUGUGAAGGUGCAGUUGGGAGCCCAGGAAAAGCCUUUAUAAUCACUGGAGGCAAUUUGAAGUUAGUUUAGAGGACAGGGCUGUAGUGGGAUGUGCCCCUCUGACAUCUAGGGAGAGGAUUUCUUCUCAAGCUUCCCAGAGCUUUUGCAGAGCAGGGCAGUUUCCGGCCAUCUCCUCAUUGUCAUGUGUUUCACGUCGUCGGCCAUCUCAGCCUCUCAAUGUCAUUGUGGGCUUUAUCGUUGAGGAAGCUGCCUUUUGCGUCCGCAGCCAUUGCCUUGUUCACCCGGCAGACAUUGCCUGCACCUGGUGGUACUGUGCUUGCCUUUGUAAAUGUAUAUGCUUGGAGAUGGCCUGCCCGGGCACAUAGUUACAGUUAGAAAACUGGAACUUUAGCAUUUUCUACCUGUUCUACCUAUGAGGUUUUGUGUAGAAAAUGUGUGGGCGUAGAUAGUGGCUGAGUCCUAGCUACGAUAUAAUCCCUCAAUGACCACCUUGUGUUGUCUUGCACAUCUCCGAUGCCUAUUUUCUGAGAAUCUACCAAUUGAUGUUGAGCAGCAGUAGCGAGAAGAUAUCUUGGUGAAUUUUGUUCAGCACAGGGUUUCCAAAUAAGGGUUGUGGUCACUCUGUAAGUUAGUCUCUUGCUGUGUGUGAGAGCGUGUCUGUCUGUGGGAGUCGGUCUGUCCGGGUCUGCUCGCAUGUGAUUGUGUGGGUUGACUGGUUCUAAUAUUGUGUGUAUGAUUUCUGCUUUUCAGGACUUGAAAGUCACUUUUAAAUUUAGAAUAAAAACCCAGCCAGGGGUGUUUCCCUCCCCGGCUGGGGUUUUUUUCUAGGUCCUGGCCAGUCUGUGAGGUGACUUUCAUCGCCAAAGUUAGGGCAUGGCCCAGCCCCGACUGGGGUUUUCAUCAGGCAGGCUGAUUUUGAGGCUCCCAGGAACCACGUUCCAGAGGACUGCUGACAGCAGGGUUAUAAUGGAGCAGUUGAGAUGAGAGUGAAGGUGAGUUGGUGUGCAAGCUGAAGCCGGCUUCUGUGGCGAAUGACUAUUGGGUUUUCUGUGUGCUCCUUCUGGUUUGGGAUAGCAGUAAUAAUAAAACAGCAUGUAUUGAACUUUUCAGAAAUACAGAAAUGUUUAUAUAAUGCUAAUAUGUAUUUGGCUUGUAUUGUUCUGUAUUUGCAUUUGCUUCCGUGUUUCUCUGUAUUAGCCUGUAUGUGAAUUAGGGGUUUUUCAGUGUCUACAUGGAUUGUAUUAUAUUGUAUAGAAUUUUUAUCGGUGUUUGCAUUGGCAUCCAGUCUCUGUGUUUUGCUGUAGUGUAAAUAAAUUUAUUCACUAAAGGUGAAUAAACCCUAAUAAAGAUGAUCCCCCU